CAUCAGGCAGCUAAAAUGGCGAUUUUCAAACUUUCCUCGAUUUCGAAAAAACUAAAGCGCUUCAAGACCCUUAAAUGCUAUUUUCGAACACAACUCACUACACAGGUUAUUUGGGCAAAAUAUGACGAAAUCGAAAAUUUCGCGACUGUCAUCUCAUUCUCGGUAUUUACAGGAACUGGCUCUUAAGCGCGUUCCAGACGGUGAAUUUUUUUGAAAAUUGGCACAUGGAUAGGAGUUUUCUUUUUCUCGCUGUUAAGCAAAAAUCAUCAAAUUUUAUACACACAUUUAUGUAAUAUGCGUCAAAAACGAAAAUUGCGAAUUCCUCCGAAAAUUAUGUACAGAUUUUCUUGUAGCUUUGUCAGUUGAAACUCCUUGUGUGUUAACUGUCUUUCCCCCAAAAGAAAGAAAAUUCACCGUGUAGAAACCUAGAAACACCGUCUAGAAGUCAGGUAGGUUAAAAAAACAAGCCAAGCAUUUCUAUCACUAGUUGCCAUAGCAACAACAUUUAGGUUCUGAAAGUGUCUUCCAUACGUAGCCUAAGGCUGUAGGUUUUUUAUUAUUGACCUUCUACCGAGUGCUAUGUUGUAAACAUUUGCCAAGGGAGAAAUUACUUAUGCAUAUUUAAUAUCCAAAGCUUUGUGAAAUACUAUAUAGAGCCACCUUAAUAAAUGCACUUUAUCCCAAGAGUACAUAACCUGUAGGUUAUUUACAAUUUAAAUUAUCAGAACUGAUGUUGUCAUGGAAAUUACCAACAAUGUUAUUUAAUACAUGCAUACAUGUAUCACUAAUAUUUUGAGAAAUACAUGUACAUGUACAUGUACCGUAAAUUAAAAAGACGACAAAUAAAUCGUUUUGAAUUUCACUGCACUAUCCACAGGUCCACUUACAUUUAGUUGGUGGUUUCUUUCUGUUCUUCUCCCAGUCUCUCAGCUAGUUCAUCAGUUUACGCAUGUUACUCUUGUCACCUUGCUGGCCAAAAAUCUGCUUCACUGAGCAAGGGCGAUAUUUGUCAACCAACAACAAACUAGACUCCUAAACAGUUAAAGACAUCAGUGAAUAGUUGAAUGGCCUCCAUGUGUUAGUGUUACGUUGCUGAUCAAAAAUAAGUAUCUUGACAGACAGUUGGAUGUGAUGAUCCCUGCAAAUGCAAUGUGUGGUCCAGAAAUUCAAAGGGGAAGGGGUUCUCUAAAGCCAAUAUUUUUAGAGGAAAGUGCACGACAAAACUAGAAUUUCCUGGGAGAAUCAAAUUGGGGGGGGGAGGGGGGG
Molecule: long non-coding RNA, 1266 nt
Organism: Orbicella faveolata
Lineage: Eukaryota; Metazoa; Cnidaria; Anthozoa; Scleractinia; Merulinidae
Source: RefSeq, a predicted model, not a curated record